Long non-coding RNA from Sapajus apella (tufted capuchin), 163 nucleotides. RefSeq lists it as uncharacterized. The transcript is spliced from 2 exons. The record is from RefSeq and is a predicted model, not a curated record. NCBI's taxonomy places the organism in Eukaryota, Metazoa, Chordata, Mammalia, Primates, Cebidae.
CAUAGAUAGAGGUAUAGCACACUGCACCCUCUUCACUGUGCAUGGUCCACCUCCAUGCCUCGGUGACCUAAUGGGGGUAGACCCCUUGUUUUAUUGCUCACAACUUUAUCACUAUCCUUAAAUAUGACUUCACUCACUACUCUGCCCCCUAAACUAUACACAA